RNAcentral lists this long non-coding RNA (1970 nucleotides) under Junco hyemalis (dark-eyed junco). RNAcentral's name for it is "lncRNA (ENSJHYG00000016043.1)". The record is from RNAcentral. Lineage: Eukaryota; Metazoa; Chordata; Aves; Passeriformes; Passerellidae.
AACGACAAUAACAACAACAAAAACGAGAAAAAAACAGCUUUCCCAGAAACGUUUAUUUUUAUUAAAUCGUGUCUUUAGCCCUAGAAACAUUUGUGUACUCGAGGCCUGGUUAUCCCACUCAAAGCAGCAGAGCCCCAGAGAAAGCAGAGAUGGCAGAGGUGGCAGAGGGCUCCUGAGUGAGGCAGGGCUGGCCCCAGCCCAGGGCAGCAGCAGCAGCAGCAGGGCUGUUUGUGGGGUGCUCUGGGCAGGGCUGACACCACAUCCCAGCUCACUCUGCCCUGGAGCAUCCCCCAGAGCUGGGCAGAGCCUGGGGUGUCCAUGGGAGCACCAACCCUGUGCUGAGCUCCAGGCAGCAAGCCCAGGCAGAGCAAUGAAUAAAUUCCUGCCUGGAGCUUCCUGCACAGAGGCCAAGCCCCUCCACUGGCUCAGGUGGCUCCAGGGCUGGGAGCAGGUGGGAUCCCACAGCAGAGUCCUCACACGGGCAGGAUGAGCUGCCUGGGUACCUUCUGCAGUCAGAUGUUUUGCUGGAGCUACAAGGAUUUUUCUGCUUUUGUUUUUGUUUAACACAGGAAGGGAUUACCUGGGAAUUCAUGUUUCCCACCCCAGGCCUGGAGGUCAGCUGCAAAGGGAAGCUGGUGGCUGCAGCAUGAGCAGAGGUGCAAAAAGCUUUAUGUUUCUAGCUAUUUCUAUAUUCCAUGGGUAAUUUGAAUUUCCUUCCCUUUCUUCCCAGCCACACAAGAGGAAAAGAGAAAAGCCUCUCUGCAAGUGCCACAUGCACAGAGCCUGUGAUGCCCCAGGCCUCUCCAGCUGGGUGAACAUUCCCUGCAGGCACCAGAGAACAUCUGGGGGCACUCCCAGCUCUGAGCCAGGCUGAGCAGCAGGGCUGGGACAGCUGAGACCCUUCCUGCCCCCUCCUCUCCUGGAGUGACACUGCCAGCCCGGGCCAUAGCACAUUUAUCACACUGAUCAGGUAAAUGUGAUAUAACACAUUUAUCACACUGAUCAGGUAAAUGUGAUAACACAUCUAUCACACUGAUCAGGUAAAUGUGAUAACACAUUUAUCACACUGAUCAGGUAAAUGUGAUAACACAUUUAUAACACUGAUCAGGUAAAUGUGAUAACACAUUUAUAACACUGAUCAGGUAAAUAUGAUAACACAUCUAUCACACUGAUCAGGUAAAUGUGAUAUAACACAUUUAUCACACUGAUCAGGUAAAUAUGAUAACACAUUUAUCACACUGAUCAGGUAAAUGUGAUAACACAUUUAUCACACUGAUCAGGUAAAUGUGAUAUAACACAUUUAUCACACUGAUCAGGUAAAUGUGAUAACACAUUUACCCAGGCAUGGGCUGGGGGUCACAUUCAGCACUGCCUCCAGCAAGGGCAGCACAAACCCCACCAUGGCUGGUGAGCACCAGGGCUGGCACCCAGCUCAGCCACCUGGGUUUCAUCUGCCUCUGUUCAAGUGACCCAGGUGUCCCCACCCUGCUGCCCUGCUGAGGGCAGCUCCAGGCUCAGAGGAGCAGCUCAGAGCAGCAGCAGCUCCCUGCUGGGACGGGGCAGGGGAGGGAGCUGCUCUUUGCUCAGCCCAGGCACACCAACUGCCGGAGGCACAGGGCAGAACUGGUUUCAGACACGCCCCGAGAGCAGGGGUGAGAGCUGGAGUGGAAUUGCAGAUUGUCCCUGUGCCCAAGAGCCACAGGCACCCCAGGCAGGGCACUGGGAGAGCCCCAGAGCCUCCAGGGGAUGCUGCAGGAGCACAGGGGGCCUUGGAGCUGUCCUGGCUGGGACCACGCUGGGCUCAUCCCUUACAGGCUGCUCUCACUGAAGGAUUUGCAGGCUCUAUUUUUACCUCUAAAUUUUAAAAUAAUUACUAUUUUUAUUUGCCUCUGCUAACCCCUUCCUUUCCCAGCAGCCACCUGAAAAACUCCACCAGUGAAAAAAGGGAAUAAAAGUGUUUUCCUCUGUCA